UUAUUCUACUAACUCUCUCUCUCUCUCUCUCUCUCUCUCUCUCUCUCUCUCUCUCUCUCUCUCUCUAUGUGUGUGUGUGUGUGUGUAUAUAUAUAUAUAUAUAUAUAUAUAUAUAUCUCAAUUCGUUCUCUUUUGGAGGUGACGCACAAACGCUGAAGUUAAGCAAGAAUUGAGAGCAAAAUAGCAAGGCAUUUUGCAAACAAUUUCUGUGUGAUACAAGUGCGCAAACCUGAAGCUACGUGAAACAGAUAGAAGAACCAAUUCCAAGUGUCUGUCUUUUAUUCUAGUUUUAUUGUAGUAGGACUUCUGAGUUGUACCUUUCAGCUGUCUCUAGAAAUAUUUGUACUAGGUACUCUGAGUGUGUUAUUCAAAUUAGAGUUAACUUGAAAUUGUCGCAACAGCCUGCGGCUGGUGGCCACAAAGGGUUAGAGGUAAUCCUUAGGUUUACAAAAAUUUUGUAAACGUUGUUUUGGCUCAGUGAUUUAGUAAAGUAUUGGAAAUAUCUUACUGGGUAGUAGGUCGUAAUUUUUUCACCUUUUGAGCCAGGUGUUUUUCACGUAAAAAUACUUGUGUUCUUUAUUUUCUGCAUUUAUUAUUCCUCCAUUGUAGUAUAAAGAACACAUAGAAGAACCAUGUCCUUUUAUAAUUUGUGCACGCGAAAAAUUGAAGACCACACAAAUCAUCCUCCCCCCUCUUGUGUGGUAUUCAACUAUAAAAAAUCAAUUGGUAUCAGAUCAGGUUAUCCUUGAAGAGGCUAACACUUUAACAGAAGAUCAAAAUGAGUUCACCACCUGAAAAUUACAAUCCACUGCUAAGCCACCACUCUUUAAUGACCAGUACUACUCUUGGUGGAAGUCAAGAAUGAGAGAUCACAUUUAGGGAGAGGACUAUGAGCUUUGGAACAUUAUCAUUGAUGGUCCACUAGGUACUUUGAAGAAAAAUGCUGAAGAAGUAGAUGUGCCAAAGGCAAGAGCUGAUUGCAAUGCUGAGGAUCUGAAGAAGUGAGGAAAAAAAUGCCAAAUCCAAGAAGUGGCUUGUUUGUCGAAUUGGUCCAGAUGAGUACAACAGAAUCCAAGGUUGUUCCACUGCUAAGCAAAUUUGGGAGAAACUGUAAAUGGCCCGCGAAGGAACAACCCGGGUGAUAAGAUAUAGAGGAACUUUACUGCAUUCUGAGUAUGAAAAGUUUGCUAUGAAGGAUGGAGAAAUCAUUUAGGAUAUGUACGGAAGGUUCAUUACAUUGACAAAUAAACUAAAAUCUCUUGGAAGGAUUAUCCCUGAAGAAGAAAAAGUUGAGAAAAUACUUACUAGGAUAUUGCCAUUUACUUGGGAAAGCAAGAUCACUGACGUCCAGGCCUCAAAGAAUAUUUUCACUGUCCAUCUAGAUGAGUUGAUUAGGAAUCUCACAGCAUAUGAACUUAGGAGACAAACCAUAUAAAUGGAUGUACCUAAGAAGUAAAAGGGUUUGGCACUCAGAAUCACUUAUGGUUUUGAUCUGGAAGAUGAUGAAAUGGCAAUGAUCACCAAAGACUUCAAGAAGUACUUAAGGAGAGGAAAGGUUUCUUCAAGAAGUAGAAUCUACAGUAAGGCAAGAGCUCCGGAGAAGCAAACUAAUAAUGGCUACUAGAAGUGUGGAAAGACUGAUCACAUGAUCAAAAACUGUCCUUUGUGAAAAAUUGAAUGGAAGGAGGAAAGAGCUGAAUGAAGGAACAGGAAGCCGGAAUAGGUUUAUCCCAAGAAAGGCAACAACAAAGGAUCAACCAAAACUAUGGUCGAUACUUGGGGAGAAAGCCCAGAUGAAACCUCAGAUGACUCAAAUGAUGAUGAUGAUGAACGAGCAAUAAUGGCUAUUGGAGAAUUGAUGAAGAAACUGGGGUAAGUGUCUUUCAUCUCAAAGACAAGAUUAAAUUUUUGUCUAAAGAAAGAUUAUCUGAAUUAUUACUACAGCUGAUUGAUAAAUCUGAGGAUGUGAACAAUGAAAAAGAAAAACUGUCAAAAGAAAGUGUGAUUUUAAAGCUAAGUGCAAAAACCUAGAACUUAGGGCUUGUGAAACUGAAAGUGAAAAUAAUGUGUUGAAGAACUAGGUUCAUGCACUUGAUACAAUUGUCCUAGAACUUAGAUUUGAAAAUCUAAAUUUGAAAUUAGCAACUGGAAAAAAAAUAGCUGGUCAUACACAACUCACUUUAGAAGAAAAUAUAGGAAAAAUAAAAUAUGAGUUGUAUAAGAGAGAUGAACUGGUAAGAGUCUUAAAGGAGGAUCUAAACAAGGUCAAGCAUGAGCUAGACAGAACUUGUAAAUAAAAUAGGUCAUCUGAUGCAUUUUCAUGGCUACAGGAACACCAUAGUAGCAACAGAAGAAGACUUUGCUUUGGGAACUCUGCACCUUAGUGGGAUCCCAAAAGAAAGUACCUCACACUCCCUCAAAAUAAGAUUUGUAUACACUGUGGAAACACUGGUCACUACAAGAGUGAUUGCAUUGCAAAAGCAAAAGCAGAUCAAAAGAACAAAAAAUUGUUUUAGGGAAAAAUAGACUGCCAAGUUGGGCUAAAGAGAACUUGAUAUAUCCUUUUGCCUAUAGAAAGGGACCCAAACUAGUUUGGGUUCCUAAGACUAACCCGUGAUAUCUUUUUGCAGGUCCAAGUAAAGGGGAGCAGCCAAAUAUUGUACAUGGAUAGUGGCUACUCAAAUCACAUGACAGGAAACAAGAACGAGUUCCUUUCACUUGAGGACCUUAAAGGAGGUAAUGUCUCCUUUGGAAAUAGAAAGAAAGGUGAGAUCAUUGGGGUUGGAAAGGUAGGUAAGGCUGAUUCUCACUCUAUUGAGAAUGUCUACUUGAUUGAUGUACUGAAAUAUAGUCUAAUAAGUGAAUCACAACUGUGUGAUAGAGGUAACAUGGUAGCAUUCACCUCUACAAAAUGCUUUGUAAUUAAUUUUACCACUGAUAAGAUAGUUUUGUAGGGAAAAAGAGUGAAUAACAUAUAUGUGGUGGAUCUAUCCACACUUUCAGAUAAUGAACUCACUUGAUUAAGUAUGUUGGAUAAUGAUUCCCUCAUUUGGCACAAUAAACUUGGACAUGCCACUCUAAGCCAAUAAAACAAACUAGUAUCCAAGGACUUGGUGGUAGGGUUGCCUAAUAUUAAGUUCAAGGAAGAUAAAGUUUGUGAUGCUUAUGCAAGGGGGGAGUAGGUAAGAUCCCUUUUUAAAAUCAAGAAAAUAGUAAGCACUACCAGGACAAUAAAACUGGUCCAUAUGGAUCUUUGUGGACCAAUGAGAACAUUGAGCAGAAGUGGUAAGAGAUAUGUUAUGGUACUUGUUGAUGUUUACUCUAGGUUUGCUUGGACAUUGUUUCUGACAUCUAAAGAUGAAGCAUUUGACAUGUUCACAUCAUUUGUUAGAAAAGCUCAGAAACAACUAGGUAAUCAACUUGCAUAAAUUAGGUCGAAUCAUGAUACUGAAUUUGAGAAUGCUAAAUUUGCUGAAUUUUGUGAUGAGCAUGACAUAGAUCAUAACUUUUCUGCUGCUAGGACUCCACAACAAAAUGGAGUAGUUGAAAGAAAGAAUAGGACUUUGGAGGAAAUGGCUAGGACUAUGCCACUUGCUAGUAAAUUACCCCACGGUUUCAAGACAGAAGUUGUGAACACUACAUGCUACAUCAUAAAUAGGUGCAUGACUAGACCUCUUGUUGAUAAGACUCUCUAUGAGUUACUUAAAGGGAAAAAACCAAAUAUAUCCCAUCUUAGGGCAUUUGGAGGCAAGUGCUUUGUGCACAUUAAUGGAAAAGACUCCCUAGGUAAGUUUGAUCCCAGAAGUGAUGAAGUGGUAUUCUUGGGAUAUUAUUCACAUAGUAAAGCUUAUAAAAUCUAUAACAAAAGAACUAUGUGUGUAGAAUAAAAUAUACAUGUGAUUUUUUAUGAAACUAACAUUCUUUCUAAGAGGCAGGAAUAGGAUGGUGAAGGAAUUCGGCUGGUAGGAAACUAAAAUGAAAACACAGCCCAGACUGAAGCUGCACCAGAGGAUGGAACAUGUCCUUCCACCCAGGGCAACCUGAUAGGGGGAACUAAACAGAGAGGAACUUGUCCUCAAAUCUCGAGGGAAUCUAUCCAUGAACUUGUUCCUCAGCAACAAAACAUUGGAGGAACAUCUAAGAAAAACUAGCUGGAUGUGAAACCUUACAAGUAUCAAAGUUCUCAUCCCAUUGGGAACAUAAUCACUGAUCCAACCUCUGGAAUCAAAACCAGAUCUUCUUUGAAGAACCUCUGUGCUUUUGAAAUUUUUUAUCUCUUAUUGAACCUAAAAAUGUUAUUAAGGCUUUUUAGGAUGCAGACUGGGUGAAUGUAAUGCAAGAUGAACUCAACCAAUUUUAGAGAAGUCAAGUUUGGCAUCUAGUACCAAGACCCAAGGAUAGAUUAGUAAUUGGCACAAAAUGGGUCUUCAGAAACAAACUUGAUAAAUAUGGAACAGUUACAAGGAACAAGGCAAGAUUGGUGUUUCAAGAAUAUAGUCAAGAGGAGGGCAUAUACUAUGAUGAGACUUUUGCUCCAGUUGCAAGAUUGGAAGCAAUUAGACUUAUAGCCUUUGCUGCUUACAUAGAAUUCACUCUCCGUCAGAUGGAUGUCAAGUGUGCCUUCCUCAAUGUCUAUCUAAAAGAAAAAGUGUUUGUCAAGCAACCUCAUGGCUUUGAAAGCAAGGAAUGUCCUGAUCACGUGUACAAACUUGACAAGGCACUUUAUGGGCUCAAGCAGGCUCCAAGAGCACGGUAUGAAAGAUUGUCUAAAUUCUUGCUUGAGUAUGGUUACAAGAGAAGUAAAAUGGACAAUAUUUUGUUCUUGAAUUAAAAGGGUAAAGAUCUCUUGGUUGUUCAGAUAUAUAUUGAUGAUAUAUUCUUUGGAGAAAAAAUAAAUAGGUUAUGUAAAGAAUUUGCUAAGCUAAUGGGGAGUGAAUUUGAAAUAAGUAUGAUGGGUGAGCUUAAUUUUUUUUUAGGCUUACAAAUUAAACAAAAUUCAAAUGGAACUAUGAUCCAUCAGUAGAAGUAUGUGAAAGAGUUGCUUAAAAGGUUUAAAAUGGAAGACUCCAAAGAAAUUGACAGUCCUAUAGAAAUAACCACAAAAUUAGAUAUAGAAGAACCUGGUUCAUCUGUUGAUCAGAUGAUGUAUAGGGGAAUGAUUGGCUCUUUAUUAUAUCUCACUACUAGUAGACCUGACAUUGUUUUAAGUGUAGGCCUUUGGGCUAGAUUUCAGGCAAAUCCAAAGGAGUCUCACUUGACUGUUGUCAAGAGGAUAUUUAGAUACCUAAAAGGCACCACUGAUCUUUACCUAUGGUACUCAAAAUGCAGUAAUUUCAACUUAGUGGGUUAUGUUGAUGCUGAUUAUGUAGGUUUUCUUGUGGAUAGAAAUAGCACUUCAGAUAUGGAACACUUUUGUGGCUCAUGUUUUGUUUCUUGGGCUACCAAAAUGCAAAAUGUUGUGUCCUCAUCUACUGCUGAAGUUGAGUAUGACUACUGACUCAUGUUGUGCUCAAUUGUUGUAGAUUAAACUACAGUUAAUGAACUUUAAAAUUGAUGUAGGUUGUAUCCCCAUGUUUUGUGAUAAUACCAGUGCAAUUAGUAUGACCAAGAACCCGGUUCAUCACAAAAGAACUAAGCACACUGAUGUUAGGAAUUACCUUUUGAGGGAUAAAUUUGAGAAAGGUUUGAUUUAUGUGGAAUUUUGUGCUACUGAAAAGCAAAUAGUUGACAUCUUCAUAAAGCUCUAAGUAGAGAUCACUUUGAAAGGAACAAGUUAGAAUUAGUGAUGAUUAGUAUCACCUAAAAUGAACCAGUUCUAACUCAAUAAUUGGUUAGAAAAUUUAUGAAUUUUGUAAAUAAUUCGAUUAGAUUUUGCUCAGUCUCAUAGUUUCACUGGUAUACUCUUGUGCCAUGUACUAAAAUGUCUCAUUAAUCUCUAAUGAAAUUAUCUUUAUUUUCUUGGAAAAUUCAUACUUACAGAAGAGAAUUCUCAGUGAAGAACCUGGUUCAUCAAGAUUACAUGGUAUGUACUCUCCAGUCCGCAUAUUUUGAAAUAAUUAUAUUCGGAUCAUGAUAAAAAAGUAAGUCCCAUUUAAUCCCAAUCUACCCCAAGUUUAUCUGUUACAAACAAAUCAGUUUCACCUAAAAGGAUUCCUACAUGCCAUUAUUACCCAGAUUCUAGGGAAGAGUCCAACGUCCAUUCAAACUGACUUUCCCAGUUUGAUUAUAAUUCUGAACUUCAAAAGGCAACUGUUACCCACUCCAACUCUCCCUCUUUAAAUUGACUACGCCUUAACCAUUUCUUCACUUCUAAUUUUUCAGCCGCCAAAAUUCUCUUUAUCUUCUCUCAUCUCUUCUACACACAUCUACUCUACUCACAUCAAUGGCAAACUCAUCUGAAACCCUUCUUCACCACCCAAAAAAUUAUCACCUAUACCCUCGACCGCACCAUCAACCACACAUAUUUCUAAUAAAGGAAAGUUCAAGAUGAUUGCCCAUAAGACAGUCGCUGGCAGUGAACAAAUCAAGAAAAUAAAUGAGAAAUUGAAAGCAAGACAAGAAGAACCCCAAAAAUCAGAAUGAUCUUUCAAGUUUGCAACCGAGGGGAAAGAAACUGUUUCAGUUGAAACAAAACGGGUAACCUCUGGUCUAAAUAUUGCUUCUGAGGUCAUUUUUGAAGUGGCUGAAAAUUUGAAAAAUAAAUUUGUUCUAGUUGGUACGAUUGUUACGGUAGAAACUACUAAGUCUAGUAUAGUUGGUGGUAAAAAUAAAAAGAAAAAAAAAGUGAGGGUGUUCAAGUAGAUGUAAAGGAAAAGAAAAAAGAAGAAAUGAUUGAAUCUUCACCUACUCCUAUUGAGUUGGUUGAGGAAACAUGGGCAAUGGUGUUAUGGAGUGAGGAAGCUGUUGAGGAGGAAGAAAAUUAGAGAGAAUAAGGAAGUAGCAGUUCUGGAGUUACAGGUGCAGCUGAGGGGCUGGUUAGGUUGAGGAAGAGGUUCCAAGAACCUGUUCCAUCUAUGAAGGAACCCCUCAAAGAGUUAUUGAAAAAGGUGUCUGAUAGCUACAAUACAAAGAAGAAGAAGAAGAAGAAAAGUUUAGGAGUUAAAAUCCCUGGAACUGCUAGGGCACACCAGAAGAGAAAAUUUGCCUCUUCUAUCCUUGUAGAGAAUCUUUCCACAAGAGGAAGAGAUAAAAUGAGUCAGAAGAAGCAGAGCGGGGCUCAACUUGAAAUAGCCUUAGAAGAGAGUAAAAGAAAAGUUGAUGCAAAGGGGGAAAAAAGAAAGUGAGUGAACCUGUUGAGGCCAUUGAGAUUGAGGAGAUGGACCUAGUCCUUCAUGAUGAAGACAAGACAUAGGGGGUGGAGGUUGUGACUCCAAAAGCAAUGAAAGGAAGGACUUCUAAAGGGAAGUCUCCUUCAAAGCUUGCUGAUGUAUAGCCUGCUGCCUUGGCAAAAAGAACCAGGUCUACCAGAAAUUCUAGGAAAGUGCAAGUAGUGGAAGAAGAGGAAAGUUAAGAAGAAGAGGAAACUGACGAGGAACAAGACAAAAUGAUGAAGUUUGGAAAGAGAACAAUCUUGAAGGGAGACUUCUCAGGGACUUGGAAGAGGAAGGAAUGGUGAUGCUGCUGGAGAAGCUAGAACUUCAGGGGUGGAAGGACUUGGUCCUUUAAAUGGAAGGAAGAGUAGCCCGAGCAAAAAUUGUGGAGUUUAUGGCUAACAUGAGAUCAAGAACGGUAGGGUCACCAGUGUAUUGGAAGGGGUGACUAUGAGUUUUGAUGCCAAGGAACUGGGAGAAAUUCUAGGGGUACAUACUGAAGGGUACAAUGACUACAAGAAGCUGAAAUGGCCAAGCCUAGAAAACCUACCCACCUACAUUGCCAUUACAAGAAAAUUUGCUGACAGUGACUUUGAGCUACAACCCAAGGCUGUGUACAAAAGAGAGAGAUGAAGCUUGCCCACAAGCUGCUUUUUGAAUUUGUCAACAAGGUUGUUCUGCCCAGGCAGAGAGAAGGCAUAUUGCAACUUUCAUGGACCCCGUCCUUAUGGAGUACCUAGAUAGUGGAAGGCAGAUCAACUGUAUAUGGUUUAUCAUAAAGCUCUUUGAUAGGGUACUCACCGGCACCAAAACUCAUUCCAUACCCUAUGGGUUCAUUCUCACUGUUGUGCUUGCUCACUUCAAGGCUCCCCUCAAGAAAUGGGAUGUUAGCAUAAGAAAAGAUCACUUUGGGGUCAACACCUUAACUGUAUGUGACUAUGAAGUCUAUACUGCUCCCAAAGAAACCGGUUCAUCCAAGAGGGCGCCUGUGAACAAUAAAGUGAGAGCCUUGGUGCAGGAGAGUGGGGAUAAGGAUGUUGAGAUUGAGAGGUUGAAGAAGCGGUUAGCUGAAGUAGAAACUGAGAGGGAUGCACUUAGAACUGAGCUUGCAAAGGAAAAGGAGAAGAAUGAAUGCAUUCUUCAUGACAUGUUAAAGCUUCUUCAGGCCAGAAACCAAGAACUUGGUCCUACCCAGCCUUGAAACCUUACUUGCCUAGUUAGAAAAUAGUGACCCGGAUGGGAUUGUUUUUUGUCUUUUUGCUCAUGAUACAGUACCUUUAUUUCUUUCUAUACUUUGUGGAUGACUCUUAUUAAUGAUAAUCAACUGCCUUUGUUCUAAUUAUUUGUUGAUGCUUCUUAGAUGGCUAAUAUCCUUAGAUUGAUAAGUGAUACUUGACUCCAUUAUUACAUUUGAAGUAGCCUAAAUGGCCAUGAGUAAGAUCUGCUAAAAUUUGAUUAUCUAACAUAAUUAUGCAGCUUUUCGAUGAUGCCAAAAAGGGAAAGAUAGGUUGUGCUUUUACUUUGGACUGUAAUGUUUAUAACCUAAUUAACCUGGUCCUUAAUAAUUUGUGACUUUAAAAUGAAAAGUGUUUUACUAUUGUGAUGAUGUGAAGCUGAGUUGCAACAUGUUUCAUCCUUGUGAAAUGAAUUGAGUUUGUCAUCAUCCAAAAGGGAGAAUUUGUUGGCGUGAGUAAGUUUGUUUUGAUGAUUGACAAAGAAACACAUGCAUGAACCAGGUCCAUACACAAUAAACACAUGGCACAUGCAGAUUCAAGCACAAGGCAUGGACGUAAAGGAGAUAAGCAUAAAUGGUUAUAUUUGAUAUCUCUUGAACGAAAAGGUUUCAUAAUUGAUAAGGAGCAUGACUCCUUGCUUGAAGAGAACUCUAUCCAAGAUAAGGGAAGAGUAAGAAGAUGAAGAUAACUAGAACUCUUCCACUAAGGAAGAGUAUAUCAUUAGAGCUCUAGUUAUUUCUCAUUCUACUAACUCCAUAUAUAUAUAUAUGUCGGCUCUCUUUAGCAGGUGACGCACAAACGCUAAAGCUUAACUAGAAUUGAGAGCAAAAUAGCAAGGUAUUUUGCUAGCAAUUCAUGUAUUAUUCUGUGACGACCCGGUCGGUCAUCUUGAGAGUUAUAGCCCCGAUUCCUGAUUAACUAUUUUUCCCGUAUCCUUUUCUUCUAUCGUGACAUGCCGGGAUGUUUCAUUUUGGUUUUUGGAGUGUUUUGGGACACUUAAUCCCUAAAUGGAGGCUUAAGUCUUAGGAUUUGGACUGUAGUCGGAACUGUGUGAAGACGACUCCGGAAUGGAGUUCCGUCAGUUCCGUUAGCUCCGUUAGGUGAUUUUGGACUUAGGGGCGUGUCUGGAUAGUGUUUUGGAGGUUUGUAGCUCAUUUAGGCUUGAAAUAACGAAACUCGAAGUUUUGGAGAUUUGAACCGGUAGUGGAAUUUUGAUACUGGGGUCGGAUUCCGAUUACGGAAGUUGAAAUAGGUUCGUAGGGUUGAAUAUGACCUGUGUGCAAAAUUUGGGGUCAAUCGGACGUGGUUUGGUUAGUUUCGGCAUCGGUUGUCAGAUUUGGAAGUUUCAAGUUCUUUAAGUUUGAAUUGGAGGGCGAUUUGUGAUUUUAGCAUUGUUUGAGGGCUCGACUAAGUUUUUAUGGUUUUUUAAGACUUGUUGGUAUGUUUGGUUAAGGUCCCCUGGGCCUUGGGUUGAUUUCGGAUAGUUAACGGAUCAUUUUGGACUUGUGGAAGAUAGCAAAUUUUUUGGUGUUUUGUUGCAGACUUUUUCUUAAUCGCGUUCGCAAGAGAGGUCUCAGGAUCACGUAGAUUGGUCAGGCUAUGCAUCGCGAAUGCGUGGGCUAGGCCGCGUUCGCGAAGCGGAAGUAAAGAAGCAGUGGAAUUCAAGUGUUGUUCUUCGCAAACACGUAGGGUUGUUCGCGAUCACGUAAGUGUGAGAGCCAAUGAAUUGCGUUCGUGUUACAUUUUUCGCAUUUGCGUAGGGUUAAAUUCUGGAGCAGCGAAGUUGUGGUUCGCGAUCGCGAGGCUAUUUUUGCGAUCGCGAUUAAGGAAUCACUAUGCAGUAUUAAACAUUUAAAAAAUAAGGGUUUGGCCAUUUUUAUCAAAACUUGAGUUUGGGAGCCGGAUUUGGACGAGAUUUUGGGGGAUUUUCAGGGACAUCGAUUGGGUAAUGAUUCUACACUCUAUUUUGGUCAUAUCCCACUAAUCAAUCAUUAAUUUCAGAUUUUAGGGUUGAAAUUUUGGGAAAAAUUGGGAGAUGUUCUUCAACUAAGAUUUCGAGUUUUGAAAGGGGAUUCGUGGUCAGAUUUGAGAUUUUAUAUGGUUGGACUCGUGAGUGAAUGAGUGUUCAUAUUUUGUGACUUUUACCUGAUUCCAGGAUGUGGGCCCGUGGAGGCAUUUUGGGUCGAUUUCCUAAUUUCUCGCUUUAGCUUAGAUUUCAUUGACUAGAUUAGUUUCUUAUAGCUAUAUUUAUGGUAUGUAAUUGAGUUUGGCUAGAUUUGGGCCAUUCGGAGCCGGAUAUUCGUGGGAAGAGCAUUGUUACCGACUGAUUUAGCUUGGUUCGAGGUAAAUGGCUUUCCUAACCUUGUGUGGGAGAAAUUCUCUUAGGAUUUGGUGCUGAUUUUAUUAUGUGAGCGUCGUGUGCGCGAGGUGACAAGUGCGUACACGUGCUAUUUGUUGAAAAACCUGAUUUUUACUGAGAAAUUCCUUGUUUCCACCUUAAUUAAAUAUACUAGCAUGCAUAGUUACCAUGUUAGAUUAGAAUAACAUGUCUACGUGCCUUAUUUUCUUAAUUGAACUCUUUCCAGCAUGCCUAUUGAAUUCAUGUUUCUUUCCCGACUUGUACUUAGUCUAGACUGUAGAUUCUCUUGUUGUACUUGUGGUUUGUAAUUGAUUGCGUUGUGUAUUUACUUUGGGAUUACAGGACAGUAUCCCGAGAGAUCCCCGUGCAUAUUUACUUUUGGGACUACGGGAUAGUAUCCCAGGAGAUCCCCCUGCAUAUUUACUUUUGGGACUACGGGAUGGUAUCCCGGGAGAUCCCCCUGCAUAUUUACUUUUGGGACUAUGGGACGGUAUCCCAGGAGAUCCUCAUGCACAUUUACAUUGAGACUACGAGGUGGUACCUCGGGAGUUCUCCCUGCAUAUUUACUUUUGGGACUACGAGACGGUAUCUCGGGAGAUCCCCUAUCUCUUAAUUCCGUGCACUGUUAUGUUAUUUCACUAUUCUUUCCUUUGUUGAACUUUAGUCUCUUACUAUACUACUUAUUCUCUUGUUUUUAUUAUUAUAUACUAGUGGGCCUAACCUGACCUUGUCACUACUCGACCGAGGUUAGGCUCGACAUUUACUGGGUACCGCUGUGGUGUACUCACGCCCUUUCCUGCACAUAUUUUUUUCGUGUGCAGAUCCAGGUUCAUUUUACCAGCCUAGUCCUUAGUUGCAGUCGUUGCUAUUUCGGAGAACUUCAAGGUACAUCUGCCCAUGCCCGCAGAUCCUUGGAGUCCCCCUCUAUCUCCCUAUGUUGAUUCUUCUCUUAUUUCUAUAGACACUGAUGUAUAGAACAGUUAGAACUUCGUAGAAGCUUGUGACUUACGGUGUUUCGGGUCUUGGGAGUGUCAUGUAUAUUUUGAGAGUUGAUUAUGUAUAUGCCGAGCGGCAUCUCAAUUGCUUAUUAAAAUAUCUGUUAUUGUUAGUUGUUAAUUUUCAUGUUUUUCAUCUCAUUUCUGCAAGUGUUAGGCUUACCUAGUCUUAGAGACUAGGUGUCGUCACGAUGAUUCACGGAGGGGGAAUUUGGGUCGUGACAAGUUGGUAUCGGAGCUCUAGGUUCAUAGGUGUCGUGAGAUAUAAGCCGAUUUAUUAGAGUCUCGUGGAUCGGUACGGAGACGUCUGUACUUAUCUUCGGGAGGCUAUGGAACUGUUAGGAACAAUCAUACUUCUUUUGAUUCCUUGUCGUGCGAGUUAUUGGCAUCAAAUUCUAAAAAUUCUCUAUUGUAUUCUUUCUCAUAGAUGGUGAGGACCCGUACCGGAGGAUCUAAUGACUAGGCACUCGUGCCCCCUACUAGAGCCGCCAGAGGCCGGGGCAGGGGUAGAGUAUGGCCACACGGUGCAGCCAGAGCACCCGCGCGAGCUACGAUAGAGGAGCCCCUAGUAGAUCCUUCUAGAGGGCAGGCACCGGAGAUUCCUAUUGUUCUACCAGCCCUCCAGGAGACUCUAGCCCAGUUCAUGAGCAUGUUCAGCACCUUAUCUCAGGCUGGAUUGAUUCUGUUAGCUCCCGCCACAUCUCAGGCCGGGGGAGGGACACAGACUCCCGCAACCCAUACUCCAGAGCAGAGGGUCCAGGUUGAUCAAGCCCCAGAGUUCAUUCUUAUUCCGUCGGUAGCUCUGGUUCAGCACGAGACUAGGACAGCCGCUUCUGAGGUAGAGCAGCUCAGACUUGAGAGGUACAAGAAGUACCACCCAUCUACGUUCUGUAGAUUGGCUACAAAUGAUGCUCAAGGUUUUCUGGAGGAGUGUCAUUGUAUUCUCUAUAAUAUGGGCAUAGCGGAGACGAGUGGGGUUUCUUUUACCACUUUCCAUCUUAAAGGAGCAACCUAUCAGUAGUGGUGUGCUUACGAGUUGAGUAGUCCGGAUGAGGCAUCUUCACUUACAUGGACUCAUUUCUCGUACAUGUUUUUGAGAGAGUAUGUCCCUCAGAGCCUCAGGGACUCAUGGCGCGCGGAGUUUGAGCAACUUCACCAGGGUGCUAUGACUGUGUCAGAGUAUGUAGUCUGCUUCAGUGAUUUGGCAUGACAUGCACCGCCUUGGUUGCCACAGUUAGAGAGAGGGUUCGAAGGUCUAUUGAGGGACUCCACCCCAGUAUCCAGAUUAGUAUAGCCAGGGAGUUGGAGAUGGAUAUCCCUUUUCAGAAGGUUAUGAGUAUUGCCAGGAGAUUGGAGGGAAUUCUUACCCGGGACCGAGAGGAGAAAGAGGCCAAGAGAUCUCGAGAGACUGGUUCUUACUCUGGAGCUCGUACCCCAGCAGCUCGCCAUGGUAGGGGUUAUGUGAGUCGCCAUGUUCAUUCAUCUCUUCCAGCCUCCAGUGGUGCUCCAGCUCCUUCUAGGCCUCAGGAGACUUAUUAUGCACCGCCAGUAUCUAGUGUGCCUCCUGCUCGGGGUGCUUUUAGCGUCCAGUCCAGCAGACCUGGCCCGAGUCAAUCGCAGCAGCCAUGCCCUCCGAGGGGUUAUUUUGAGUAUGGUGACAUCCUCCAUAUGGUGAGGGAUUGCCCCAGACUUAGGAGGGUUGCAGCUCCACAGAAUUCUCAGCCACCACAUGCUCCACCGGGUCCUCAGGCCAUGAUUCCAGCACUAGCUACCGCCCCACCUGCUCAGCCAGCUCGAAGUGGAGGUCGGGGAGGUCGAGUUCGCCCUAGAGGGGGAGGCCAGGCCAGGUAUUAUGCUCUUUUGCCCCGUACAGAGGCAAUUGCUUCCGGCUCUAUCAUUACAGGUAUUGUUCCCGUCUGUCAUAGAUAUGUGUCGGUAUUAUUUGACCUAGGAUUUACGUAUUCCUAUGUGUCCUCUUAUUUUUCCCUAUAUUUGGGCAUAUCUAGGGAUUCUUUGAGUUCCCCUGUUUAUGUGUCUACUCCUAUGGGAGAUUCUCUUGCUGUGGACCACGUGUAUCGGUCGUGUUUGAUUGCUCUUAGUGGUUUUGAGACCAGAGCUGAUUUAUUAUUGCUGAGCAUGGUAGAUUUUGAUGUUAUCUUGGGCAUGGACUGGUUGUCGCCCCAUUAUGCUAUUCUUGAUUGUCACGCUAAGAUUGUGACACUGGCUAUCCCAGGCUUACCGCGAUUAGAGUGGAUAGGUACCUUAGAGUAUACUCCCCACAGAGUUAUUUCAUUUCUUAAGGCUCAACGAAUGGUUGAGAAGGGGUGCAACGCGUAUUUAGCUUAUGUGAGAGAUGUCAGUAUUGAUACCCCAACAAUUGAGUCAAUUCCAGUAGUGAGGGAUUUCCCAGAUGUGUUUCCAGCUGAUCUUCCGGGCAUGCCGCCUUACAGAGAUAUUGAUUUCGGCAUUGAUUUGUUGCCGGGCACUCAGCCCAUCUCUAUUCCUCCAUACCGUAUGGCUCCUCCUGAGUUGAAGGAGCUGAAGGAGUUAAAGAAGCAGUUGCAGGAAUUGCUUGAUAAGGGCUUUAUUCGGCCCAGUGUGUCACCUUGGGGUGCUCCGGUCUUGUUUGUAAAGAAGAAGGAUGGUUCUAUGCGUAUGCGUAUUGAUUAUUGCUAGCUGAACAAAGUUACAGUGAAGAACAGGUAUCCAUUGCCUCGUAUUGAUGAAUUAUUUGAUCAGUUACAGGGUGCCAGAGUGUUCUCCGAGAUUGACUUACAUUCACGCUAUCAUCAGUUAAAGAUUCGGGAGCCAUAUAUCCCGAAGACUGCUUUCAGGACCCGAUAUGGUCACUAUGAGUUUCUUGUUAUAUCUUUUUGGCUGACCAAUGCCCCAUCAGCCUUUAUGCAUUUGAUGCACAGUGUGUUCUGGCCUUAUCUUGACUCCUUCAUCAUUGUGUUUAUUGACGACACUCUAGUGUACUCUCGGACUCAGGAGGAUCACGAGCAGCACUCGAGGACUGUGCUUCAGACUCUGAGAAAAAAAAGGUUGUAUGCAAAAUUUUUGAAGUGUGAGUUUUGGCUAGACUCAGUGGCAUUCUUGGAUCAUGUAGUAUCGAGUGAUGGGAUCAAGGUAGAUCCGAAGAAGGUGGAGGCAGUGCAGAGUUGGCCUAGACCGUCAUCAGCUACGGAGAUCCACAGUUUUCUUGGGUUGGCAGGGUAUUACCUUCGUUUUGUUGAGGGAUUAUCAUCUAUUGCAGCACCUAUGACCAGGCUGACCCAGAAGGGUGCUCCGUUCAGGUGGAUAGAGAAGUGUAACGAGAUCUUUCAGAAGCUCAAGACAGCUUUCACUACAGCCCAAGUUUUGGUAUUGCCUACAGGUUCGGGGUCCUUCACUGUAUAUUGUGAUGCAUCGCGAAUUGGUCUUGGCGCGGUGUUGCAGGAUGGUAGGGUGAUUGCCUACGCGUCCAGACAGCUGAAGGUGCAUGAGAAGAACUAUCAUGUCCACGACCUUGAGUUAGCAGCUAUUGUUCAUGUCCUGAAGAUUUGGCGCCACUAUUUGUAUGGUGUUCCUUGUGAGAUUUACAAUGAUCAUCGGAGUUUGCAGCAUAUGUUCAAGCAAAAGGAUCUUAAUUUGUGUCAGCGGAGGUAGUUGGAGCUACUUAAGGAUUAUGAUAUCACCAUUUUGUACCACCCGGGGAUGGCCAAUGUGGUGGCUGAUGCUUUGAGUCACCGGGCGGAGAGUUUGGGGAGUUUAGCAUAUCUUCCAGUAGCAGAGAGACCCUUAGCAUUGGAUGUUCAGGCCUUAGCCAGCCAAUUUGUGAGAUUGGAUAUUUCUGAGCUGAGUCGAGUGUUGGCUUGUGUGGUCUCUCGGUCUUCUCUUUAUGAUCGUAUCAAGGAGCGUCAGUAUGAUGAUCCCCACCUGCUUGUCCUUAAUGAAACGGUUCAGCACGGUGAUGCUAAGGAAGUCACCAUUAGGGAUGAUGGCGUAUUGAGGAUGCAGGGCAGGCUAUGUGUGCCUAACAUAGAUGGUUUGUGCAAGUUGAUUCUUUAGGAGGCUCAUAGAUCGCAGUACUCUAUUCAUACAGGUGUCGUGAAGAUGUAUCAGGACUUGAGGCAGCAUUACUGGUGGAGGAGAAUGAAGAAGGACAUAGUGGAGUAUGUGGCUCGGUGCCUAAAUUGCCAGUAGGUGAAAUGUGAGCAUCAGCGACCGGGCGGGUUGCUUCAGAAGCUAGAGAUUCCUGAGUGGAAAUGGGAGUGGAUCACUAUGGAUUUCUUUGUUGGGCUCCCACAGACUCAGCGGAGGUUUGAUGCGGUUUGGAUGAUUGUGGAUAGGCUGACCAAGUCAGCUCAUUUCAUUCCUGUGAUGACUUCAUAUUCUUCCGAGCAGCUGGCUCGAAUCUACAUCCGUGAGAUCGUCAGGCUUCAUGGCGUACCAGUAUCUAUCAUCUCUGAUCGGGAUACGCAGUUUACAUCACGAUUUUGGAGGGCCGUACAACAUGAGUUGGGUACUCGAGUGGAGCUGAGCACAGUAUUUCACCCUCAGACGGGCGGACAGUCCGAGCGCACUAUUCAGAUAUUAGAGGAUAUGCUCAGUGCUUGUCUAGUGGAGUUUGGAGGGUUGUGGGAUUAGUUCUUACCACUUGCAGAGUUUGCCUACAACAACAGUUAUCAGUCGAGCAUCCAGAUGGCACCGUAUAAGGCUCUGUAUGGUAGGCGGUGUCGGUCCCUAGUGGGUUGGUUCGAGUCGGGAAAGGCCAGAUUAUUGGGUACAGACUUGGUCCAGGAUGCCCUGGAUAGGGUGAAGGUGAUUCAGGAUCGACUUUGCAUAGCCCAGUCCAGACAGAAGAGUUAUGCAUACCGGAGGAUAUGCGAUGUAGCAUUCAUGGUUGGAGAGCGAGUCUUGCUUCGGGUAUCACCUAUGAAGGGCGUUAUGAGGUUCGGGAAGAAGGGCAAGUUGAGCCCAAGGUACAUUGGUCCUUUUGUGGUGUUGAGGCGUGUUGGGGACGUUGCUUAUGAGAUUACCUUGCCUCCCAGCCUUGCAGGGGUUCAUCUGGUAUUCCACGUUUCUAUGCUCCGGAAGUAUCACGUUGAUCCGGCUCAUGUAUUGGAUUUCAACUCAUGCCAAUUGGACAAGGAUCUAUCUUAUGUUAAGGAGCCAGUGGCUAUUUUGGGCAGGCAGGUCAGAAAGUUAAGGUCAAAGAACAUCGCUUCCGUGAAGGUGUAGUGGANNNNNNNNNNNNNNNNNNNNNNNNNNNNNNNNNNNNNNNNNNNNNNNNNNNNNNNNNNNNNNNNNNNNNNNNNNNNNNNNNNNNNNNNNNNNNNNNNNNNNNNNNNNNNNNNNNNNNNNNNNNNNNNNNNNNNNNNNNNNNNNNNNNNNNNNNNNNNNACUCGUUCGAGGAUGAACGAUUGUUGUAAUAGAGUGAGGAUGUGACUACCCGACUGGUCGUCUUGAGAGUUAUAGCCCCGAUUCCCUAUUAAUUGCUUUCCCCGUAUCCUUUUCUGUUAUUAUGACUUGUUCUGAAGUUUCGUUUUGGUUUUUGGAGUGUUUUGGGACACUUAAUCCCUAAAUGGAGACUUAUGUCUUAGGAUUUGGACCGUAGUCGGAACUAUGUGAAGAUGACUCUGGAAUAGAGUUUUAUUGGUUCUGUUAGCUCCGUUAGGUGAUUUUGGACUUAGGGGCGUUUCCGAAUAGUGUUUUGGAGGUCUGUAGCUCAUUUAGGCUUGAAAUGGCAAAGGUCGAAAUUUUGGAGAUUUGGACCGAUAGUGAAAUUUUGAUAUCGGGGUCGGAUUCCGAUUCCGGAAGUUGGAAUAGGUCCGUAGGAUUGAAUAUGACCUGUGUACAAAAUUUGGGAUCAAUCUGACGUUGUUUCGUUGGUUUCGUCAUCGGUUGUCGGAUUUGGAAGUUUCAAGUUCUUUAAGUUUAAAUUGGAGGGCGAUUCGUGAUUUUAGCGUUGUUUGAUGUGGUUUAAGGGCUUGACUAAAUUUGUAUGGUAUUUUAGGACUUGUUGUUAUGUUUGGUUGAGGUCCCGGCGGCCUCGAGGUAAUUUCGGAUGGUUAACGGAUUAUUUUGGACUUGUGGAAGAUAGCAGAUUUUCUAGUGCUUUGUUGCAGACUUUUUCUUCAUCGCAUUCGCGAGAGACGUCUCGCGAUCACGUAAGGCAUCUGAGAGGCCAGCUGAAGUUAUUCUUCCCAUUCGCGAAUAUGGGGACGCGAUCGCAUAGAUUGGUCAGGUUGUACAUCGCGAACGCGUGGGCUAGGCCGCGUUCGCGAAGAGGAAUUAAAGCAGAAGUGGAAUUCAAGUGUUAUUCUUCGCAAACGCGUAGGGUUGUUCGCGAUCACGUAAGUAUGAGAGCCACUGAAUCGUGUUCGCGUUGCAUUUUCCGCGUUCGCGUAGGGUUAAAUUCUGGGGCAAGGAAGUUGUGCUUCGCGAUCGCGAGGCUAUUUUCGCGAUCACCGUUAAGGAAUCACUGGGCAGUAUUAAACAUUUCAAAAACAAGGGUUUGGCCAUUUUUAUCAAAACAUGAGUUUGGGAACUCGGAUUUGGACAAGAGUUUGGGGGAUUUUCAGAGACAUCGAUUGGGUAAUGAUUCUACACUCUAUUUCUGUCAUAUCCCACUAAUCUAUCAUUAAUUUUAUCUUUAAUUUCGGAUUUUGGGAUUGAAAAUUUGGGGAGCAUUGGGAGAAGUUCUUCAACUAAAAUUUCGAGUUUUGAAAGGGGAUUCGUGGUCGGAUUUGAGUAAUUUUUAUAUGGUUGGACUCGUGAGUGAAUGGAUGUUCAUAUUGUGUGACUUUUACCCGAUUCCGAGACGUGGGCCCGUGGAGACAUAUUGGGGCGAUUUCCUAAUUUCUCGCUUUAGCUUAGAUUUCAUUUACUAGAUUAGUUUCUAUAGAUAUAUUUAUGGUAUGUAAUUGAAUUUGGCUAGAUUUGGGCCAUUCAGAGCUAGAUAUUCGUGGGAAGAGCAUUGCUACCGACUGAUUUAGCUUGGUUCGAGGUAAGUGGCUUGCCUAACCUUGUGUGGGGGAAGUCCCUUUAGGAUUUGGUGUUGAUUUUACUAUGUGGGCGUCGUGUACGCGAGGUGACGAGUGCGUACACGGACUAUUUGUUGAAAAACCUAAUUUUUACUGAGAAAUUCCUUGUUUCUACCUUAAUUGAAUAUACUGGCAUGCGUAGUUACCCUGUUAGCUUAGAAUAACAAGUCUACGUCCCUUAUUUGCUUAAUUGAACUCUUUCCAGCAUGCCUAUUGAAUUCAUGUUUCUUUCCCGACUUGUACUUAGUCUAGACUGUAGAUUAUCUUGAUGUACUUGUCGUUUGUAAUUGAUUGCACUGUGUAUUUACUUUGGGACUACAGGACGGUAUCCCGAGAGAUCCCCUGCAUAUUUACUUUUGAGACUACGGGACGGUAUCCAGGGAGAUCCUCUGCAUAUUUACUUUUGGGACUACGGGAUGGUAUCCAGGGAGAUCCCCCUGCAUAUUUACUUUUGGGACUACGGAACGGUAUCCCGGGAGAUCCCCCUGCAUAUUUACUUUGAGACUACGAGGCGAUACCUCGAGAGUUCUCCCUGCAUAUUUACUUUUGGGACUACGAGACGGUAUCUCGGGAGAUCCCCUGUUGCUUAAUUCCGUGCACUGUUAUGUUAUUUCACUGUGCUUUCCUUUGUUGAACUUUAGUCUCUUAUUAUAUUGCUUAUUCUCCUGUUUUUAUUAUUAUAUACCAGUGGGCAUAACCUAAACUCGUCACUACUUGACCGAGGUUAGGCUCGGCACUUACUGGGUACUGCUGUGGUGUACUCACGCCCUUUCCUGCACAUGUUUUUUUGGUGUGCAGAUCCAGGUUCCUUUUAACAGCCUCGUCCUUAGUUGCAGUCAUUGCUGUUUCGGAGAACUUCAAGAUAUAUAUGCCCGCGCCCGCAGAUCCUUGGAGCCCCCCUCUAUCCACCUAUGUUGAUUCUUCUCUUAUUUCUAUAAACACUGAUGUAUAGAACAGUUAGAACUUCGUAGAAGCUUGUGACUUACGGUGUUCCGGGCCUUGGGAGUGUCAUGUAUAUUUCGAGAUUUGAUUAUGUAUAUGCCUAACGGCAUCUCAAUUGUUUAUUAAAAUAUUUGUUACAGUUAUUGUUAAUUUUCAUGUUUUUCAUCUUAUUUCCGCAAGUGUUAGGCUUACCUAUUCGUAAAGACUAGGUGCAUGUCACGACGAUUCACGGAGGGAGAAUUUGGGUCGUGACAGAUUCAAGUGUGUGAACAUGAAACUACAUGAACCAGAUAGAAGAAUGUGUUCCAAGUGUAUGUCUAUUCUUCUAGUUUCAUUGUAGUAGGGCUUUUGAGUUGUACCUUUCAGCUUUCUCUAGAAGCAUUUGUACUAGGUACUCUAAGCGUAUUAUUCAAGUUAGAGUUAACUUGAAAUUGUCGCAACAACCUAAGGCUGGUUGCCAUAAAGGGUUAGAGGCAAUCAUUAGGUUUACAAGAGUUUUAUAAAUGCUGUUUUUGGCUUAGUGAUUUAGUGAAGUUUUGGAAAAAUUCCUACUGAAUAGUAGGUCGUGGUUUUUUCACCUUUUGAGUCAAGUGUUUUUCACGUAAAAAUACUUAGUGUUCUUUACUUUCUGCAUUUAUUAUUCUGCAAGUAUAGUAUAAGGAACACAUAGAAAAACGAGGUCCUUCUAUAAUUUGUGCACGCGAAAAAUUGGACAUUACACAAAUCACCCCUAUUAUGUAGUAUUGAAAUACAAAACAUCAUAUGGGCAACAACUAAAAAGGGAGAAUGGACCUCUAUGGUGUUAUUAUUGUGGUGUGGGCUGUCACGUUUUCAUACCUUUAAAGUGACGUAUUAGCAACACAUUUUGUAGGCAUCUAAUACAUAUAUUGGUAUUAUAUUAAUUAGUUGUAACAAGCCUUCAGUGAAAGCCAUUCAAGACAAAUGGGAGAGGGGUCAUAUUGGGGACAUAAUAACGCCGAGACCAAGCAUUGUCUUGGUCAUUUCUUUGACUGAUGAAAAGGCAGCAACACUGGUUGCCUCUCCGUCUCUUUUGGCAACGAGAGUAAGUAUUUUGCGGUGAAGAACAAGCUGAAGAAUAAGCUGCUCCUAGUCUCAAAGGAACGCAAAAGAUCAAAUUGGAAAAUCUCAAGAAAUCUUCACGGACUCUAAAGAGAGAAAAUUUCUAGAGUUACACAAGAGAGGCAAUUUUACUACUCCGAUUUAAAUUAAAGUACUCAAAUAUGAUUGCGGAGUAUAUCUUAAAGUGGGAUUUAUGAUGUAAACAUGGUAACCAAGUAACCCUAAAAGUAGGUCUUGUGAAAGAGAUGAUGAAUAGUACCUAAGGCUAGGGAGUAAUGUGGAUUAUUGUUCCAAUAGCUCUAGCUAAUUGGUUAUAAACACCUCGUGUGGGUGAUAAAAUGAACUCUAUUACAGUAGUAAUCAGAAUCAUGGGAAUUGGAUGACCUUGAGCCUAUUGCGACCCCUAAAUGGGUUAUGAUGAAAUUGUUUGAAUACUAAUUGACGGAAUCCGAUAUCGAAUAUUGUAAUUGAUAUAACUUGCGCAUGUUGGGCUUGUUGGACUUAUUUGGAAGGCAAAGACAUGGUAAGUUAAGAUGUACCUUCCCUUAAGAAUUAUUUGAUGAAUUCUAACAUUUGCUAAAGUUAUUUUAAAUGUUGGUUUGGGUUCGUUAGAGUGAUCGGCACUUACCAUUCAUGCUUUAACAUUAUGAGACGUCUUAUGCUAUCUUAUAGUAUCAUAUAUGCAUAAAUUGUAUUGUUGGUCCUUUAUUAACUUUUAUUGAAUGAUAGCACUUAAACCCAUAUUUUUCUACUUGAUUUAAAUCAAAUAGUUAUCACAAAUAUUGAAACUCAUUAUCUUAUGAUUUUACCGCUAUCGAGAUAUUUUUUUAAAAAUUGUCUUGCCGAAGUCAAAGAAACUUUAUCAAAGUAUAGAAUUGAGCUAUGGACCGUGAGAGCCAAUUAUCGAAAAUAGGGCCUACGGGUUAUACAAUUUAAAGAAAAUAUUAUUGGGAGGGCCAUAUUUAUUAUUGCGUAUAGACCACACAUUUCAGUGUUUACCAUAUAUUUUCCAAUGAGACAUCUUACUGUGUUAGCACUAUCGUCAAAAUCCCAUAGCAAUAGGUGAGACGGCCUCGUGACCGGGCGAUGGUUAAUAUCAUCAAAAUCUUAUAGAAAUGGGUGAGACGACCUCGUGACCAGGCGAUGGUCACUAUCAUCGAAAUCCCAUAGCAAUGGGUGAGACCGCCUCAUGAUCGGGCGAUGGUUACUAUCAUCAAAAUCCCAUAACAAUGAGUGAGACGGCCUCGUGAUUAGGUGAUGGUUACUAUCACCAAAAGCCCAUAGCAAUGGGUGAGGUUGCCUCGUGACCAAGCGAUGGUUACUAUCGUCAAUAUCCUUCGAGUGAGACGCCCAGGUUGACCGGGGAUAGUCAACAUACAAAUAUCGAUUAUUGUUAUAGUUAUCACUAUUGGAACUCUCUAUUGAAAGAUUUGCAUCCUAAUUACAACCUAUUAAAAGAUUUACAUCUUAUUGAAAGAUUACAUUAUAUUAAAAGAUUUACAUCAUAUUGAAUGAUUACAACCCAUUAAAAGAAUUAUAGCCUAUUGAAUGAUCUACAGUCUAUUCAAAGGUUUACGGCCUAUUGAAAUAUUUUCUCUAUUGAAAGAGUUACAUUUUAUUAAAUAUUUAUUUUCAUUAUUGAUUUUAUGAAAUGUCAUACUUAUUGUACUUUAUGUAUUCUACGUAUCCCUAAAGUAUCGUUCCAACCUUAUCGGAAGGAGUCAAUAAUACUUACGGGGUACGAUUUCUAUGAAAUUGUGCUCAGCCUCCCAUGUGGGGCAACUUAUUUGAUGUUUCAGAUAUUGUGACAUUAGUGUUGACAACACAUGCUAGGCGUCUUCUCCGUUCUCUGCUAUACUUGGUAAGCUCCGUUUAUUUUUUCAAUGGGUCUAUGUCUAGAGAUUUUAUUAUGUUCAGUUAAUCUAUAGAUGUUUGAUCACGCUCAACUAUGCCUUAUAAAAAGAACUAAGUGGUCGCUGCAAAACUAAUCCGGUUCAAGAUUCCAGAGUCGAAUCCCAUAGGGAACUAACCUAUUUGCUACAACUUUUCAGUAUUUCUAAUGAUAAGCUUAGACAACUUUUAGAGUUCAAGAUUUGAUUUGUGAAUUAAUAAAAAUUACUUAACUAAGAAAAAAUGACAAUAAAAACUAUCAACUAGCAAGAUAGCAAGAUUUUCCCAAUUGCCAGAUUAAUUCAUGAUACGUUAGCUAUAAUCUCGCCGCAACACUCUAACGAUGACGAGUUCUUAUUUAUCGCAAUUAUCUCUCGAUCAAUUACGAAAAUGUACUAGAAGUAUUCUCUCGGACUACUCUAGCUGACAACUCGUACAACUCAUAAAUACCGCACUAAAAUUUCGUUAUCUCUAAUCCCGUUUUUAAAUUUAAUUAAUUAAUCUCUUAACUUACUCGAAAGUGGCGUUGUUCAAUAACAAUAUAAUAAAGCGUUCUCUCUCAAGAAACACAAGAUAACUAGACACGGAUAAUCAAGAGCCCUUCAAUCAACCACAAGAAACACAUUGUUGAAUAAUUAAAAAGUAAAAACGGUCAAUUAUAUCAAAAUGCAAUCAAGACUUCAUCCAAUAAUUGGUUCCAUCAAUCCUAGAUGAUGGGUUUAGAUACUCAUAACUUUGUAAAUAAUCAUAGUAAUAUAUAAAAGCAUUAAACUACAAAUUAAAGGAAAGCGAAGAGAAAAACUCGAGUGAUUCGUGCUUCCAAAGUGUUAUGUAGCCUCUUGCCUCUCUAAUGAUGUCUAACCCUUCAAAAGCUAACUUUAAGAUGUAUUUAUAGGGUAAGGCCCGAUGUUUACAUGUUCAAAAAUAGUGAGGAAUUAAAAUUGGCUCAGAUAGCAUCGUCGGCAUGAGGCACUGUCAGAGGCACCAAUGUUUCUGUGCGAGGCACUGUCUGGGGCGCCAAUGAAUCUGCACGAGGCACUGUCUGGGGCGCCAGUGACAAUGUCCUGGACAAUGCCUUGCACUGUUUAUGGCCAUUACUUUUUAUUGUCUUGCACGUCUUCUUUUAUUGCUCCAUUUUAUAGCUCUGAGGUACCAUUUCGUACAAAAUUUCUCCAAUUUAUGUCCAAGCAUUCCUACACGUGAAAUAAGCUCUAUUAAGCUCAAUUGUCGCAUAAAUUAGCAUCCAAACAAUAAACAAGUAGGGUAAAUAAUGUCAAAAUAUAUGGAAUUAUAGCACGACAUCAACACCCCACUCUUAAAUUUUGCUCGCCCUCGAGUCAACCAACGAAACACUUCCUUUUCAAGGACCCCACAAGCCCCGCAUUCACCGCAUAAUACACAUAUUGUUGCGACCAAACACACUCACGCAAGUAUACGCGGUCGUCAAGUAAUAAAGUGACUAAAAGUCGGAUGUCGAACCCACGAGGACUUAUGAUUAGCUAUUAACUAAAUUAGACUAUCCUAAUUAUUUAAACAAGAAUUAAAUCUAAAAAUAUUUUAUUCUAACUAAUUAAAUAAGAAAAAUAUAAAUAAUAAACUUUGAACAGAGAAAGAGCAGAUUUUAAUGAUAUCAAUGUAAUGAAAACGAUCUAGGGUUAUG
This 24499-nucleotide long non-coding RNA is filed under the name Nicotiana tabacum (common tobacco). Its description in RNAcentral is "long non-coding RNA (NTAB_LNC011851)". Lineage: Eukaryota; Viridiplantae; Streptophyta; Magnoliopsida; Solanales; Solanaceae. The record is from RNAcentral.